UCCAGUAGGAAAACAGCCAGCUGUGUCCUGGUAUCCGGGUCUGCAUGGCUUGUCAGAGCUGAUAGUUCUUUCAGGCCUAAUCUGGACAGACCCAGGAGGAAGGAGGUCUCAGGGCCUCCUUCCUUUGAUCAGCUCUCAUGCGCAUGCUUUCCUUUCCCCAGUUCCUCUUGACUAGUGUCCUUGUGUCGUGGGCAGCCUCCUGAGUGAAGGUGAGGAAUCUCCCUCCCCCGAGCUCAUCCACAUCUACCAGGAAUUUGACUUCUAGGUGUUCUCCUUCCAGGCACCCAGCCACAUGGUGACAGCCACCUUCCCCUACAUCACCAUGCUGUCCAUCUGGGUGGCUGCCCGCCAUGUCCAUUCUGCCUUGGACACCUCCAUCAAGACCAAGGAAUGACCACAUGAGAACAUAGCAAGGAGGCAUCCACCUGCACACCAGGAAGAGAGCCCUCACCUGCAACUGAGUUGGCUGACCCCUUGACCUUGGACUUCCAGCCUCCAGAACUAAUGAUGUUGCAGCAUGUUCCCUUACAUUACAACAAUCUCUGGCCUUUUUUCUGAGUCAAGGUCAAGGUUUGCGUUGAUGAUCUGGCACAUUAAUAGAAGCCGUGUAUUGGUCUCUGUGUUAUCUCAUUGGAUUUCCUGCCGACCAUGAAGAUUGACGGGUUUUAUUAGCCCUCACAGGAAAACUGAUUCUCAAAGUCAAAAAUCUCAAGCAUAGAAUACAGGAUAUGGACCCAUCGAUCCCCACUACAAAAAGCCUUUCCUAGUACAGA
This is a long non-coding RNA of Symphalangus syndactylus (siamang), 773 nucleotides long. RefSeq lists it as uncharacterized. The record is from RefSeq and is a predicted model, not a curated record. Lineage: Eukaryota; Metazoa; Chordata; Mammalia; Primates; Hylobatidae.